UAAGACAGAGGGGGCAAGCGUUGCUCGGAAUUACUGGGCGUAAAGGGCGCGUAGGCGGAAUGGCAAGUCGGCCGUGAAAUCCUUCGGCUCAACCGAAGAGCGUCGAUCGAAACUGCCGUUCUUGAGGAUUGCAGAGGAGACUGGAAUUCCCGGUGUAGCGGUGAAAUGUGUAGAGAUCGGGAGGAACACCGGUGGCGAAGGCGGGUCUCUGGGCAAUUCCUGACGCUGAGGCGCGAAAGCGUGGGGAGCAAACGG
This 255-nucleotide ribosomal RNA is filed under the name uncultured prokaryote. RNAcentral describes it as "partial 16S ribosomal RNA". It matches the Rfam family "Bacterial small subunit ribosomal RNA", at positions 521 to 775 of the family's 1533-position model. The record is from RNAcentral.